This 541-nucleotide long non-coding RNA is filed under the name Homo sapiens (human). RNAcentral describes it as "non-protein coding lnc-PRSS1-1:2". The record is from RNAcentral. Lineage: Eukaryota; Metazoa; Chordata; Mammalia; Primates; Hominidae.
UUGAGAGCUGAUGGGACCGCUGGAAAAGAUCCUUCACAAGCAUCACGUGGCCACCUGAACUGUUCAGUGUCACUGCAACGGGUUUAGGAUCAGAAUGUUCCAGCAGGGAGCACUACAGCUGUUUCAAUCUUCAGGGAGACUACUCAUCUUGGGAAUAAUUCCUUCCUUUGUCCUGUCAGCAUAAUGUGUAUGGACCCUGCUAAGCAGCACCCAGUCAUGAAAGUGCUGCCACCGAGGAAGUGGAAUUUUCUUCUGAGGAGGCAAGAACUGAGGUUGCUGCAGACCAGCAGGGAUUCACUGCUGAUAACUCAAGAUACCUUCCACCAGUAACUUGGAGAUGACACCAAGAGACAACACAGGCAAAGGAAAGUGUAUUAAUUCUGUUUUAGGUGUAGAAACUGGAGUGAUUGGAAAAUAAUUCCUAAAAGAAAUUGAAAAGUCAAAUUGUCAAGCAGUAAGUUCACCAUCACAUUUACCAUAAAGCAUGUAGAGAAAUGGAAAUAUUUACACAUCAUGGUUGAGAGUGCAGGAUUUGCAGUCA